AUACGGAGGAUGCGAGCGUUAUCCGGAUUUAUUGGGUUUAAAGGGUGCGUAGGCGGAUUGAUAAGUCAGUGGUGAAAGGCUGCAGCUUAACUGUAGACUUGCCGUUGAUACUGUCAGUCUUGAGUAUGGUCAAGGCAGGCGGAAUGUGUAAUGUAGCGGUGAAAUGCUUAGAUAUUACACAGAACACCGAUUGCGAAGGCAGCUUGCUGGGCCAUCACUGACGCUCAUGCACGAAAGCGUGGGGAGCAAACAGGAUUAGAUACCCUGGUAGUCCCAGCCGUAAACGAUGAGUGCUAGGUGUGGGGGGCAACAAUCCUCCGUGCCGGAGUUAACACAAUAAGCACUCCGCCUGGGGAGUACGGCCGCAAGGCUAAA
Molecule: ribosomal RNA, 375 nt
Filed under: uncultured bacterium
Lineage: Bacteria
Description: bacterial SSU rRNA
Rfam family: Bacterial small subunit ribosomal RNA
Source: RNAcentral